AGAGUGAACGCUGGCGGUAGGCCUAACACAUGCAAGUCGAACGGCAGCACAGUAGGAGCUUGCUCUUACGGGUGGCGAGUGGCGGACGGGUGAGGAAUACAUCGGAAUCUACCUUUUGGUGGGGGAUAACGUAGGGAAACUUACGCUAAUACCGCAUACGCCCUUCGGGGGAAAGCCGGGGACCAGCAAUGGCCUGGCGCUGAUAGAUGAGCCGAUGUCGGAUUAGCUAGUUGGUGAGGUAAUGGCUCACCAAGGCGACGAUCCGUAGCUGGUCUGAGAGGAUGAUCAGCCACACUGGAACUGAGACACGGUCCAGACUCCGUACGGGAGCAGCAGUGGGGAAUAGUGGACAAGUGGG
Molecule: ribosomal RNA, 358 nt
Filed under: uncultured soil bacterium
Lineage: Bacteria
Description: bacterial SSU rRNA
Rfam family: Bacterial small subunit ribosomal RNA
Source: RNAcentral